UCCAAGAAGGCUCUCCAAGCGGUGCACGGU
This 30-nucleotide non-coding RNA is filed under the name Mus musculus (house mouse). The record is from RNAcentral. Lineage: Eukaryota; Metazoa; Chordata; Mammalia; Rodentia; Muridae.